GUGCCAGCAGCCGCGGUAAUACAGAGGGUGCGAGCGUUAAUCGGAUUUACUGGGCGUAAAGCGUGCGUAGGCGGCUUUUUAAGUCGGAUGUGAAAUCCCCGAGCUUAACUUGGGAAUUGCAUUCGAUACUGGGAAGCUAGAGUAUGGGAGAGGAUGGUAGAAUUCCAGGUGUAGCGGUGAAAUGCGUAGAGAUCUGGAGGAAUACCGAUGGCGAAGGCAGCCAUCUGGCCUAAUACUGACGCUGAGGUACGAAAGCAUGGGGAGCAAACAGGAUUAGAUACCCUGGUAGUCCAUGCCGUAAACGAUGUCUACUAGCCGUUGGGGCCUUUGAGGCUUUAGUGGCGCAGCUAACGCGAUGAGUAGACCGCCUGGGGAGUACGGUCGCAAGACUAAAACUCAAAUGAAUUGACGGGGGCCCGCACAAGCGGUGGAGCAUGUGGUUUAAUUCGAUGCAACGCGAAGAACCUUACCUGGCCUUGACAUACUAGAAACUUUCCAGAGAUGGAUUGGUGCCUUCGGGAAUCUAGAUACAGGUGCUGCAUGGCUGUCGUCAGCUCGUGUCGUGAGAUGUUGGGUUAAGUCCCGCAACGAGCGCAACCCUUUUCCUUACUUGCCAGCAUUUCGGAUGGGAACUUUAAGGAUACUGCCAGUGACAAACUGGAGGAAGGCGGGGACGACGUCAAGUCAUCAUGGCCCUUACGGCCAGGGCUACACACGUGCUACAAUGGUCGGUACAAAGGGUUGCUACACAGCGAUGUGAUGCUAAUCCUCAAAAAGCCGAUCGUAGUCG
Molecule: ribosomal RNA, 790 nt
Filed under: uncultured bacterium
Lineage: Bacteria
Description: bacterial SSU rRNA
Rfam family: Bacterial small subunit ribosomal RNA
Source: RNAcentral